UGGGGAAUAUUGCACAAUGGGCGCAAGCCUGAUGCAGCCAUGCCGCGUGUAUGAAGAAGGCCUUCGGGUUGUAAAGUACUUUCAGCGGGGAGGAAGGUGUUGAGGCUAAUAACCUCAGCAAUUGACGUUACCCGCAGAAGAAGCACCGGCUAACUCCGUGCCAGCAGCCGCGGUAAUACGGAGGGUGCAAGCGUUAAUCGGAAUUACUGGGCGUAAAGCGCACGCAGGCGGGCUGUCAAGUCGGAUGUGAAAUCCCCGGGCUCAACCUGGGAACUGCAUUCGAAACUGGCAGGCUAGAGUCUUGUAGAGGGGGGUAGAAUUCCAGGUGUAGCGGUGAAAUGCGUAGAGAUCUGGAGGAAUACCGGUGGCGAAGGCGGCCCCCUGGACAAAGACUGACGCUCAGGUGCGAAAGCGUGGGGAGCAAACA
This 427-nucleotide ribosomal RNA is filed under the name uncultured bacterium. Its description in RNAcentral is "partial 16S ribosomal RNA". It matches the Rfam family "Bacterial small subunit ribosomal RNA", at positions 355 to 774 of the family's 1533-position model. The record is from RNAcentral.